Molecule: ribosomal RNA, 788 nt
Filed under: uncultured archaeon
Lineage: Archaea
Description: bacterial SSU rRNA
Rfam family: Archaeal small subunit ribosomal RNA
Source: RNAcentral
ACUGCUCAGUAACACGUGGUCAACAUACCCAGAGGACGUGGAUAACCUCGGGAAACUGAGGAUAAACCGCGAUAGACCAUAAUGUCUGGAAUGAUUUAUGGUUCAAAUCUACAUGGCCUCUGGAUUGGACUGCGGCCGAUCAGGCUGUUGGUGAGGUAAUGGCCCACCAAACCUGAAACCGGUACGGGCUCUGAGAGGAGAAGCCCGGAGAUGGGCACUGAGACAAGGGCCCAGGCCCUAUGGGGCGCAGCAGGCGCGAAAUCUUUGCAAUAGGCGAAAGCCUGACAAGGUUACUCUGAGUGAUCUCCGCUAAGGAAAUCUUUUGACACCUCUAAAAAUGGUGUAGAAUAAGGGGUGGGCAAGCCUGGUGUCAGCCGCCGCGGUAAUACCAGCACCCCGAGUGGUCGGGACGAUUAUUGGGCCUAAAGCAUCCGUAGCCGGUUCCUUAAGUCCUCCGUUAAAUCCACCUGCUUAACAGAUGGGCUGCGGAGGAUACUAUAGAGCUAGGAGGCGGGAGAGGCAAGCGGUACUCAGUGGGUAGGGGUAAAAUCCGUUGAUCCAUUGAAGACCACCAGUGGCGAAGGCGGCUUGCCAGAACGCGCUCGACGGUGAGGGAUGAAAGCUGGGGGAGCAAACCGGAUUAGAUACCCGGGUAGUCCCAGCUGUAAACGAUGCAGACUCGGUGAUGAACAGGCUUCGUGCCUGUUCAGUGCCGCAGGGAAGCCGUUAAGUCUGCCGCCUGGGGAGUACGGUCGCAAGACUGAAACUUAAAGGAAUUGGCGGGGGAG